This 116-nucleotide ribosomal RNA is filed under the name Pteropus alecto (black flying fox). The record is from RNAcentral. Lineage: Eukaryota; Metazoa; Chordata; Mammalia; Chiroptera; Pteropodidae.
GUCUAUGGCCAUGCUACCCUGAAUAAGCCUGAUGUCUGACCUCAGAAGCUAAGCAGGGUCAGGCCUGGUUAGUACUUGGAUGGGAGACCAUCUAGGAAUACCAGGUGCUAUAGGCA